This 300-nucleotide ribosomal RNA is filed under the name uncultured bacterium. Its description in RNAcentral is "bacterial SSU rRNA". It matches the Rfam family "Bacterial small subunit ribosomal RNA", at positions 114 to 432 of the family's 1533-position model. The record is from RNAcentral.
CACGUAAGAAUCUACCUUUUGGCGAGGGACAACCACUGGAAACGGUGGCUAAUACCUCAUAUAACUGAGAAGUGAAAGAUGAAAAUCACCAAGAGAUGAGCUUGCGUCUGAUUAGCUAGUUGGUAAGGUAAAGGCUUACCAAGGCGACGAUCAGUAGCUGGUCUGAGAGGAUGAUCAGCCACACUGGGACUGAGACACGGCCCAGACUCCUACGGGAGGCAGCAGUGGGGAAUAUUGCACAAUGGGGGAAACCCUGAUGCAGCCAUGCCGCGUGUGUGAAGAAGGCCUCGGUUGUAAGCA